ACGUAGGGUGCAAGCGUUAAUCGGAAUUAUUGGGCGUAAAGAGCUCGUAGGUGGUUCGUCACGUCGGAUGUGAAAAUCUGGGGCUUAACCCCAGACCUGCAUUCGAUACGGGCGAGCUAGAGUGUGGUAGGGGAGACUGGAAUUCCUGGUGUAGCGGUGGAAUGCGCAGAUAUCAGGAGGAACACCAAUGGCGAAGGCAGGUCUCUGGGCCAUUACUGACACUGAGGAGCGAAAGCGUGGGGAGCGAACAGG
RNAcentral lists this ribosomal RNA (252 nucleotides) under uncultured bacterium. RNAcentral describes it as "partial 16S ribosomal RNA". It matches the Rfam family "Bacterial small subunit ribosomal RNA", at positions 525 to 776 of the family's 1533-position model. The record is from RNAcentral.